UACGGAGGAUCCGAGCGUUAUCCGGAUUUAUUGGGUUUAAAGGGUGCGUAGGCGGCCUUGUAAGUCAGGGGUGAAAGACGGUAGCUCAACUAUCGCAGUGCCUUUGAUACUGCAGGGGCUUGAAUGUACUUGAGGCAGGCGGAAUGUGACAAGUAGCGGUGAAAUGCAUAGAUAUGUCACAGAACACCAAAUUGCGAAGGCAGCUUGCUAAAAGUAUGAUUGACGCUGAGGCACGAAAAGCGUGGGGGAUC
This 251-nucleotide ribosomal RNA is filed under the name uncultured bacterium. RNAcentral's name for it is "partial 16S ribosomal RNA". It matches the Rfam family "Bacterial small subunit ribosomal RNA", at positions 524 to 770 of the family's 1533-position model. The record is from RNAcentral.